Molecule: ribosomal RNA, 433 nt
Filed under: uncultured bacterium
Lineage: Bacteria
Description: partial 16S ribosomal RNA
Rfam family: Bacterial small subunit ribosomal RNA
Source: RNAcentral
AACGAACGCUGGCGGCAUGCCUAACACAUGCAAGUCGAACGAGACCUUCUGGUCUCGUGGCGCACGGGUGCUUAACGCGUGGGAACCUGCCCUUAGGUUCGGAAUAACUCCCCGAAAGGGGGGCUAAUACCGGAUAAUGUCUUCGGACCAAAGAUUUAUCGCCUUUGGAUGGGCCCGCGUUGUAUUAGCUGGUUGGUAGGGUAAAAGCCUACCAAGGCGACGAUCCAUAGCUGGUCUGAGAGGAUGAUCAGCCACACUGGGACUGAGACACGGCCCAGACUCCUACGAGAGGAAGAAGUGGGGAAUAUUGGACAAUGGGCGAAAGACUGAUCCAGCAAUGCCGCGUGAGUGAUGAAGGCCUUAGGGUUGUAAAGCUCUUUUAACCGGGAUGAUAAUGACAGUACCGGGAGAAUAAGCCCCGGCUAACUACGUG